ACACAUUCAACCAAAGAUUGCAUAAGGAAGUAUCAAAACAUAAUUCUACUUCCUAUUACAAGCAUUCAUCUCACAUAUUACAUUUUACAUUACAAAUUACAUUCUUUUACAUUCAACUUCCAAAUACAAUCCAAUUAUUACAAAUUUCCUACAAGUUUGAUACAUCUUGUUCUUUCAUUUUUCUCUACCCCUAGGCUAUGCCGACUCGGGGUACCACUACCUCUGGUCUCUGUGGUAGGGCGCUAUCUAUGGAGCUACGCCCUUGCCUAGCGCCGCCGUGCCGCUCACGUGUGAACCUGUAACACCCCAAAACAACGUGGGGUGAGAACUAACUCCAUAGUUCCCAGUGGGUACGGCCACCCAAGGGAAGAGCUCGACCAUCAGGUCCAAAGGAGGCAAACAACAUGUUAGUCCAAUAGAUAGAUAUGAAAUCAUAAAUCGUGCAACUAACAUUACCAUACUUUUGCCUCACAACAUGCAAUAUGCAAAUCAUGCAACUCAUAUCGGUAGAUUAAUUGAUUCUACUCUUUAUUCUUAUCCAUUCUUUACCUUUAAUCAUUCUUUACUUUACUAGUUAUUCUUUAGUAUUUACCUUUCUAUAUUCUUCAUUACUCGCCAUUCUUUAGCACUAGCCUUUCCUUAUUCUUUAUUCUUUAUUCUUUAUUCUUUAUACUUUAUUAA
This 681-nucleotide long non-coding RNA is filed under the name Ananas comosus (pineapple). RNAcentral's name for it is "long non-coding RNA (ACOM_LNC016465)". The record is from RNAcentral. Lineage: Eukaryota; Viridiplantae; Streptophyta; Magnoliopsida; Poales; Bromeliaceae.